CUGGCCUCUUUGGGCGUUGGCUCCUUUGCUUUCAUAUGCUUUUUGUGCAUAGUCAUCAUGGCACCCACAGGACAAGCUCCUCAAAAGAGAUUUGGCUGAUGGGAGUCCCUUCCAACUGGCUCCUGUGUCCUUUUAUAAGCUUGGCGUUUUUGGAGGAACAUAUUCUAUUGAUGUGUCCACCCCACUUCAGCUGUUUUUCUAACUCUGGUUUCCUGGCUCAUAAAGAAGAAACAAUUUGAGGGCGUGGCAUUCCUGAUGACUCUCAGCGCCCAUAUAGAUCUAGGCGGGGCCAUCGGACUGACCAGCUGAGUUCUGGCCAAUGGAAUAUGGGCAGACGUGAUGAAACUACUUCCAGAUCUGGCCCCCAAACCCUCCUGAGUGAUCAUGUGGCACUCGGAUUCGGCCUUCCAGAUUGGAAACUCCUUGAGAGAAGUUUGCAGCCUUCCCACAUCCUGAAGCAUAGCUGGAGAAGAGCUCCCUCUGACCCUGGCAGUGGACUCAGGCCGCCAUGUCCCAUGAGUAUUGGAGAGUCAUCCUGCCUGAGUCUGGAAGUUGCUCUGUUCCUGCUCAUCAGUAGCCGGAGCAACUGAUGGGGACGGAAGUGUGGGCCUCCUUCAGAGCUGUUAAAAAAUCAAUGACGCUGGCGGAGAAAAAAAGGGUGGGGAAGGAGGUCAAUAUGGAUCAUAAAUGCGAGCAUCUUUUUCAUUCACUGCUUCCUAGCCUGUCCCCGCCCCUAGGCCAGCUCCCACACAGGAUCGUCACCAAGAGCGGGUUUAAAUUUGCUUUAACUGGUAAGGCCCCAAGCUCCAGUGUGGCCGUAAAUCAGGGGCUGGAGGUGCAGCAGCUGGAACUCAAUGGGAUUACCCUAUCUUGUGACCCGCUGAGCGAGCUGACUGAGGAGCAGUCCCCGUAUCCACUGCUGGGGACACUAAAAUUGUCCUGCACUGUGUCAGCUGCAAAGGUUUCAUAUCGCGUUAUGGCUUUGUGUUGUCUUGGUGGCUCCGGAGUUGCUAACUCAGGGCAGUUGGCCGAC
This 1033-nucleotide long non-coding RNA is filed under the name Equus caballus (horse). RNAcentral describes it as "lncRNA (ENSECAG00000059524.1)". The record is from RNAcentral. Lineage: Eukaryota; Metazoa; Chordata; Mammalia; Perissodactyla; Equidae.